AUCCAGUCGAAGAGUCCUAAAUAGGACGAAAUGCACAUCCUGAAU
RNAcentral lists this non-coding RNA (45 nucleotides) under Trichobilharzia regenti. Lineage: Eukaryota; Metazoa; Platyhelminthes; Trematoda; Strigeidida; Schistosomatidae. The record is from RNAcentral.